CUGAGAUCUGGUGCCCACUCAGAGACGGUGUAGCUGUCCUCUAUACAGACCCUGGGUGAGACUAUUUAUGCCUCCCUGUCCUGCUGUGCACCACUUGGAGACCUCACAAGAAAGAAAAGGCACCUGUGGAAAUAGAAUAUGAUUGAGGUAUCUUGGGAUAUUUCACCACAACAGCAAGAGCUGCUGGAUUUUCCUGAGGAAGCAACAGAUCCUCUGCAGGGCAGGGAGAUUCUGAUGUGUCUCCAUAUAGAACAGCUCGAAAGAGCCAAUGUUCUUGAAAAUUACAGCUCUUAACUCUAUUUUGUCCUCUCACAUGGUGGUUUGGGGGCAGGAGCUACAAAUAUUUUAUGCUGCUGGAAUGGGAGGAAAGAUCACAAGGUGAUCAGCUACAUUCAGAAACUGCCCAGGCUGUUUCUUUAUGCCUUGGAGAAGGAUACUGGGAGAGCAUAAUUUUCUAAUUUUACAUCCCACAUGACAAGAAGAUGACCCUUCUGCAAAGAAACGGGACAAAAAAAUUUGAGCACUAUUAUCUGUGUUUGCCUCAGCAGCUUUGUAUCUCAACAUCAGCUGUGUCUGGGGAACAUGGGCAG
RNAcentral lists this long non-coding RNA (590 nucleotides) under Gallus gallus (chicken). RNAcentral's name for it is "lncRNA (ENSGALG00010025213.1)". The record is from RNAcentral. Lineage: Eukaryota; Metazoa; Chordata; Aves; Galliformes; Phasianidae.